GAGAGAGAGAGAGAGAGAGAUCAUGUUGGGACUAGAAUCACCCCUUUUACUUUCCCAUUGCCACUAAGCAUCUUCAUUGAGAUGAUACCAAUUGCACACAGAAUUAGAAUUAAAACAAUAGCAAGCCAACCCUUGACGACGAGCGUCCACCUAGCUAGUGCCAUAUCCUGAUAUCCAACAACACCAUUUACACCUUUCUUCUCUUCCUUGUCACUUGGCAGAGCCACCUCGAUCCAAUCAUCACAGAUAUAAGAAGUUGACGAUGAACAAGAACCAGAAUGGCAAUGAACAGGAUAUAACUCUUCUUCUUUGCUUUCAACUUUUUCCUUCUCAUCAUCUGAAUCGUAGGAAAACACUGACCUCAUCUCAUCACUCCCUUGAGCAAAAACAUCCCAACCACUGCAUAUUAUCUCCUGUCUCCCUCCAGAACCCACCUCACUUGCAC
This 445-nucleotide unclassified non-coding RNA is filed under the name Hevea brasiliensis (rubber tree). The record is from RNAcentral. Lineage: Eukaryota; Viridiplantae; Streptophyta; Magnoliopsida; Malpighiales; Euphorbiaceae.